GUAUGAAGAGUUUGGAUAAAAUAUGGACAGGAAAACACUUAGCUUGAUAAGCAAAUAAUUAAAGGAAUAACUACUUUUCCUUGAAUAAACUGCCAGUAGUAAAAGGAAAUCACAUUAUGGAAUAUAAUAAAAAAAAGUUUUCAAGAAUUCCAGUGCAACAAGAAUUCUUUCAGGAAGACAUCAGCCAAAAGGAAUAACACUUGUGUUAAUUCCGAUUGCCUGGAAGUGAACGAACAUUCUAGCACUGACACAGUUUGUUGAAGGGUGCAUCUUUUUCCUUUUAAGUCAAAAUAUUUUAUGAAGGAAAUAAUUUGCAUUGAGAAAGCUGCUGUGGGGUUCAUAGGCUAUGGAAUAUAUUUUUUAUUCAUCAAUUCUCAUAUUAUUGCCAAAGGAUCAUCUGAUAUACCUAACAUACCUACAAAUCAGCUUCAUCAGAAGUAAAAAUAAAUGAUUCAGUAGAUGGGAAAAAAUCUAAAUAAAUC
Molecule: long non-coding RNA, 482 nt
Filed under: Marmota monax (woodchuck)
Lineage: Eukaryota; Metazoa; Chordata; Mammalia; Rodentia; Sciuridae
Source: RNAcentral